Molecule: small nucleolar RNA, 54 nt
Filed under: Pyrobaculum calidifontis JCM 11548
Lineage: Archaea; Thermoproteati; Thermoproteota; Thermoprotei; Thermoproteales; Thermoproteaceae
Description: PCAsR134
Source: RNAcentral
GUGGCGAUGGGAGAGACGGCUGAGCUGUGACGAAAAACCGCUGGCCGCUACUGC